GACGAACGCUGGCGGCGUGCUUAACACAUGCAAGUCGAACGGAAAGGCCCUGCUUGCAGGGUGCUCGAGUGGCGAACGGGUGAGUAACACGUGGGUGAUCUGCCCCUUACUUUGGGAUAAGCCUGGGAAACAGGGUCUAAUACUGGAUAGGACCAUGCUGUAGGUGGUGUGGUGGAAAGAUUAGUGUCGUUACGGGAUGAGCUCGCGGCCUAUCAGCUUGUUGGUGGGGUAAUGGCCUACCAAGGCGUUGACGGGUAGCCGGCCUGAGAGGGUGGAGGGCCACAUUGGACCUGAGAGACGGCCCAGACUACUGCGGGGGGCGGCAGUGGGGAAUAUUGCACAAUGGGCGCCAGCCUGAUGCAGCGACGCCGCGUGAGGGAUGACGGCCUUCGGGAUGUAAACUCCUUUCAGCCAUGAAGAAGCCUUCGGGUGACGGUAGUGGUAGAAGAAGCACCGGCUAACUACGUG
Molecule: ribosomal RNA, 468 nt
Filed under: uncultured bacterium
Lineage: Bacteria
Description: partial 16S ribosomal RNA
Rfam family: Bacterial small subunit ribosomal RNA
Source: RNAcentral